Molecule: ribosomal RNA, 165 nt
Filed under: Tubeufia sp.
Lineage: Eukaryota; Fungi; Ascomycota; Dothideomycetes; Tubeufiales; Tubeufiaceae
Description: partial large subunit ribosomal RNA
Rfam family: Eukaryotic large subunit ribosomal RNA
Source: RNAcentral
CGGCAACAGCUCAAAUUUGAAAUCUGGUCCUUUCAGGAUCCGAAUUGUAAUUUGUAGAGGAUGCUUCGGCUAACGCCCCGGUCUAAGUUCCUUGGAAUAGGACGUCAUAGAGGGUGAGAACCCCGUCUGUGGCCGGCGGCCGCUGCCAUGUGAAGCUCCUUCGAC